RNAcentral lists this ribosomal RNA (253 nucleotides) under uncultured bacterium. RNAcentral describes it as "partial 16S ribosomal RNA". It matches the Rfam family "Bacterial small subunit ribosomal RNA", at positions 524 to 776 of the family's 1533-position model. The record is from RNAcentral.
AACGUAGGAGACAAUCGUUAUCCGGAGUUACUGGGCGUAAAGGGCGUGUAGGUGGUAGAGUAAGUCUGGCGUGAAAUUUUUCGGCUUAACCGGGAAAGGUCGUCGGAUACUGCUUAACUAGAGGACGGUAGAGGCGUGUGGAAUUCCGGGUGUAGUGGUGAAAUGCGUAGAGAUCCGGAGGAACACCAGUGGCGAAGGCGACACGCUGGGCCGUACCUGACACUGAUGCGCGACAGCAUGGGGAGCAAACAGG